CAGUCGCCGCGGUAAUACGGAGGGAGCUAGCGUUAUUCGGAACUACUGGGCGUAAAGCGCACGUAGGCGGCUUUGUAAGUUAGAGGUGAAAGCCCGGAGCUCAACUCCGGAAUUGCCUUUAAGACUGCCGAGCUAGUAGGUGAGAGAGGUAAGUGGAACUCCGAGUGUAGAGGUGAAAUUCGUAGAUAUUCGGAAGAACACCAGUGGCGAAGGCGGCUUACUGGCUCAUUCUAGACGCUGAGGUGCGAAAGCGUGGGGAGCAAACAGGAUUAGAUACCCGCGUAGUCCCUGUCUCUUAUAA
This 301-nucleotide ribosomal RNA is filed under the name uncultured bacterium. RNAcentral's name for it is "partial 16S ribosomal RNA". It matches the Rfam family "Bacterial small subunit ribosomal RNA", at positions 509 to 809 of the family's 1533-position model. The record is from RNAcentral.